RNAcentral lists this transfer RNA (82 nucleotides) under Methanobacteriota archaeon. RNAcentral's name for it is "Euryarchaeota archaeon (marine metagenome) tRNA-Ser". It matches the Rfam family "tRNA". Rfam says of the family: Transfer RNA (tRNA) molecules are approximately 80 nucleotides in length. Their secondary structure includes four short double-helical elements and three loops (D, anti-codon, and T loops). Further hydrogen bonds mediate the characteristic L-shaped molecular structure. tRNAs have two regions of fundamental functional importance: the anti-codon, which is responsible for specific mRNA codon recognition, and the 3' end, to which the tRNAs corresponding amino acid is attached (by aminoacyl-tRNA synthetases). tRNAs cope with the degeneracy of the genetic code in two manners: having more than one tRNA (with a specific anti-codon) for a particular amino acid; and 'wobble' base-pairing, i.e. permitting non-standard base-pairing at the 3rd anti-codon position. The record is from RNAcentral. RNAcentral also lists the same sequence under 1 other name. Lineage: Archaea; Methanobacteriati; Methanobacteriota.
GCGGAGAUCGCAUAGCCUGGUAUCGCGCCGGAUUUGAAAUCCGGUGGUGUAAGCCGCGGGAGUUCGAAUCUCCCUCUCCGCG